RNAcentral lists this ribosomal RNA (168 nucleotides) under Staurogyne eustachya. Its description in RNAcentral is "partial 5.8S ribosomal RNA". The stretch from base 1 to 78 matches the Rfam family "5.8S ribosomal RNA", at positions 79 to 154 of the family's 154-position model. The record is from RNAcentral. Lineage: Eukaryota; Viridiplantae; Streptophyta; Magnoliopsida; Lamiales; Acanthaceae.
AUCCCGUGAACCAUCGAGUCUUUGAACGCAAGUUGCGCCCGAAGCCAUUAGGUCGAGGGCACGCCUGCCUGGGCGUCACGCAUCGCGUCGCCCCCUCCCUCCGCCCGAAUGCGGAUGCGGGGGGGGACGGAAGUUGGCCUCCCGUGGGCUCCCGCCCGCGGCCGGCCC